AGUGAACGCUGGCGGUAGGCCUAACACAUGCAAGUCGAACGGCAGCACAGUAAGAGCUUGCUCUUACGGGUGGCGAGUGGCGGACGGGUGAGGAAUACAUCGGAAUCUACUUUUUCGUGGGGGAUAACGUAGGGAAACUUACGCUAAUACCGCAUACGACCUACGGGUGAAAGCAGGGGAUCUUCGGACCUUGCGCGAUUGAAUGAGCCGAUGUCGGAUUAGCUAGUUGGCGGGGUAAAGGCCCACCAAGGCGACGAUCCGUAGCUGGUCUGAGAGGAUGAUCAGCCACACUGGAACUGAGACACGGUCCAGACUCAGACGGGAGGCAGCAGUGGUGAAUAUUGGACAAGGGGCGCAAGCCUGAUCCAGCCAUACCGCGGGGGUGAAGAAGGCCUUCGGGUUGUAAAGCCCUUUUGUUGGGAAAGAAAAGCAGCAGGUUAAUACCCCGCUGUUCUGACGGUACCAAAAGAAUAAGCACCGGCGAACUUCGG
Molecule: ribosomal RNA, 491 nt
Filed under: uncultured bacterium
Lineage: Bacteria
Description: partial 16S ribosomal RNA
Rfam family: Bacterial small subunit ribosomal RNA
Source: RNAcentral